AGAGUUUGAUCCUGGCUCAGGAUGAACGCUAGCUACAGGCUUAACACAUGCAAGUCGAGGGGCAGCGGGAUUGAAGCUUGCUUCAAUUGCCGGCGACCGGCGCACGGGUGAGUAACGCGUAUCCAACCUUCCGUACACUCAGGGAUAGCCUUUCGAAAGAAAGAUUAAUACCUGAUGGUAUGAUGAAAUUGCAUGAUAGCAUCAUUAAAGAUUUAUCGGUGUACGAUGGGGAUGCGUUCCAUUAGGUAGUAGGCGGGGUAACGGCCCACCUAGCCUACGUUGGAUAGGGGUUCUGAGAGGAAGGUCCCCCANAUUGGAACUGAGACACGGUCCAAACUCCUACGGGAGCA
This 350-nucleotide ribosomal RNA is filed under the name uncultured bacterium. RNAcentral's name for it is "bacterial SSU rRNA". It matches the Rfam family "Bacterial small subunit ribosomal RNA", at positions 8 to 349 of the family's 1533-position model. The record is from RNAcentral.